UACGGAGGGAGCUAGCGUUGUUCGGAAUUACUGGGCGUAAAGCGCACGUAGGCGGCUUUCUAAGUCGGGGGUGAAAUCCUGGAGCUCAACUCCAGAACUGCCUUCGAUACUGGAGAGCUCGAGUCCGGGAGAGGUGAGUGGAACUGCGAGUGUAGAGGUGAAAUUCGUAGAUAUUCGCAAGAACACCAGUGGCGAAGGCGGCUCACUGGCCCGGUACUGACGCUGAGGUGCGAAAGCGUGGGGAGCAAACAGGG
This 254-nucleotide ribosomal RNA is filed under the name uncultured bacterium. RNAcentral describes it as "partial 16S ribosomal RNA". It matches the Rfam family "Bacterial small subunit ribosomal RNA", at positions 524 to 777 of the family's 1533-position model. The record is from RNAcentral.